AACAAGGUCUCCGUUGGUGAACCAGCGGAGGGAUCAUUAGCGAGUUAAUUACAAACUCCAAACCCAUGUGAACAUACCUACUGUUGCCUCGGCAGGCCGUGCUGCGCGGCUGGAUCGCCCACCCCCCGCGUGGGUAGCUACCCUGGAGUAGCUACCCUGUAGCGGGAGCGGCCCGCCCCGCGGCGCGCCAACAGGCCUGCCGAAGGACCCCUAAACUCUGUUUUGCACCUGUAUCUCUGAGUUUAUUAUACAAAUAAGUUAAAACUUUCAACAACGGAUCUCUUGGUUCUGGCAUCGAUGAAGAACGCAGCGAAAUGCGAUAAGUAAUGUGAAUUGCAGAAUUCAGUGAAUCAUCGAAUCUUUGAACGCACAUUGCGCCUAAUAGUAUUCUGUUAGGCAUGCCUGUUCGAGCGUCAUUUCAACCCCCAAGCCCUAUUUGCUUGACGUUGGGAGUUUACGGAGACGUAAUUCCUCAAAUAUAGUGGCGGAGCUAGGUCGUGCUCUAAGCGUAGUAACCAAAUUCUCGCUUCUGAAGCCGGCCCGGGUCCUGCCGUAAAACCCCCUAUA
RNAcentral lists this ribosomal RNA (567 nucleotides) under Sordariomycetes sp. Its description in RNAcentral is "eukaryotic LSU rRNA". The stretch from base 263 to 416 matches the Rfam family "5.8S ribosomal RNA". The record is from RNAcentral. Lineage: Eukaryota; Fungi; Ascomycota; Sordariomycetes.